This 588-nucleotide ribosomal RNA is filed under the name uncultured bacterium. Its description in RNAcentral is "partial 16S ribosomal RNA". It matches the Rfam family "Bacterial small subunit ribosomal RNA", at positions 355 to 1375 of the family's 1533-position model. The record is from RNAcentral.
UGGGGAAUUUUGGACAAUGGGCGAAAGCCUGAUCCAGCAAUGCCGCGUGUGUGAAGAAGGCCUUCGGGUUGUAAAGCACUUUUGUCCGGAAAGAAAUCCUUGGCUCUAAUACAGUCGGGGGAUGACGGUACCGGAAGAAUAAGCACCGGCUAACUACGUGCCAGCAGCCGCGGUAAUACGUAGGGUGCAAGCGUUAAUCGGAAUUACUGGGCGUAAAGCGUGCGCAGGCGGUUUGCUAAGACCGAUGUGAAAUCCCCGGGCUCAACCUGGGAACUGCAUUGGUGACUGGCAGGCUAGAGUAUGGCAGAGGGGGGUAGAAUUCCACGUGUAGCAGUGAAAUGCGUAGAGAUGUGGAGGAAUACCGAUGGCGAAGGCAGCCCCCUGGGCCAAUACUGACGCUCAUGCACGAAAAGCGUGGGGAGCAAAACAGGAUUAGAUACCCUGGUAGUCCACGCCCUAAACGAUGUCAACUAGUUGUUGGGGGAUUCAUUUCCUUAGUAACGUAGCUAACGCGUGAAGUUGACCGCCUGGGGAGUACGGUCGCAAGAUUAAAACUCAAAUGAAUUGACGGGGUCAUAGCUGUUUCCU